This 253-nucleotide ribosomal RNA is filed under the name uncultured bacterium. RNAcentral's name for it is "partial 16S ribosomal RNA". It matches the Rfam family "Bacterial small subunit ribosomal RNA", at positions 524 to 776 of the family's 1533-position model. The record is from RNAcentral.
UACGUAGGUGACCAGCGUUGUCCGGAUUUAUUGGGCGUAAAGAGCGCGCAGGCGGUCGUUCAAGUCGAGUGUGAAAGCCCCCGGCUCAACUGGGGAGGGUCACUCGAUACUGAUCGACUUGAAGGCAGGAGAGGGAAGCGGAAUUCCCGGUGUAGUGGUGAAAUGCGUAGAUAUCGGGAGGAACACCAGUGGCGAAGGCGGCUUCCUGGCCUGUUCUUGACGCUGAGGCGCGAAAGCUAGGGGAGCAAACGGG